AUGCAGUCGAGCGAACGGACGAGAAGCUUGCUUCUCUGAUGUUAGCGGCGGACGGGUGAGUAACACGUGGAUAACCUACCUAUAAGACUGGGAUAACUUCGGGAAACCGGAGCUAAUACCGGAUAAUAUUUUGAACCGCAUGGUUCAAAAGUGAAAGACGGUCUUGCUGUCACUUAUAGAUGGAUCCGCGCUGCAUUAGCUAGUUGGUAAGGUAACGGCUUACCAAGGCAACGAUGCAUAGCCGACCUGAGAGGGUGAUCGGCCACACUGGAACUGAGACACGGUCCAGACUCCUACGGGAGGCAGCAGUAGGGAAUCUUCCGCAAUGGGCGAAAGCCUGACGGAGCAACGCCGCGUGAGUGAUGAAGGUCUUCGGAUCGUAAAACUCUGUUAUUAGGGAAGAACAUAUGUGUAAGUAACUGUGCACAUCUUGACGGUACCUAAUCAGAAAGCCACGGCUAACUACGUGCCAGCAGCCGCGGUAAUACGUAGGUGGCAAGCGUUAUCCGGAAUUAUUGGGCGUAAAGCGCGCGUAGGCGGUUUUUUAAGUCUGAUGUGAAAGCCCACGGCUCAACCGUGGAGGGUCAUUGGAAACUGGAAAACUUGAGUGCAGAAGAGGAAAGUGGAAUUCCAUGUGUAGCGGUGAAAUGCGCAGAGAUAUGGAGGAACACCAGUGGCGAAGGCGACUUUCUGGUCUGUAACUGACGCUGAUGUGCGAAAGCGUGGGGAUCAAACAGGAUUAGAUACCCUGGUAGUCCACGCCGUAAACGAUGAGUGCUAAGUGUUAGGGGUUUCCGCCCCUUAGUGCUGCAGCUAACGCAUUAAGCACUCCGCCUGGGGAGUACGACCGCAAGGUUGAAACUCAAAGGAAUUGACGGGACCCGCACAAGCGGUGGAGCAUGUGGUUUAUUUCGAGCACGCGAGACCUUACCAAUCUUGACAUCCUUUGACACUCUGAGAUAGAGCCUUCCCCUUCGGGGGACAAGUGACAGUGUGCAUGAUGUCGUCAGCUCGUGUCGUGA
This 1022-nucleotide ribosomal RNA is filed under the name Staphylococcus aureus. RNAcentral's name for it is "bacterial SSU rRNA". It matches the Rfam family "Bacterial small subunit ribosomal RNA", at positions 55 to 1070 of the family's 1533-position model. The record is from RNAcentral. Lineage: Bacteria; Bacillati; Bacillota; Bacilli; Caryophanales; Staphylococcaceae.